This is a long non-coding RNA of Cynoglossus semilaevis (tongue sole), 4790 nucleotides long. RefSeq lists it as uncharacterized. Lineage: Eukaryota; Metazoa; Chordata; Actinopteri; Pleuronectiformes; Cynoglossidae. The record is from RefSeq and is a predicted model, not a curated record. The transcript is spliced from 3 exons.
GGAGUCUGGAAGGAGAAGGUACAGAAUAAACGUAGUCCAAUGAGCGGUCAAACGGACUAGAGCAGGGGCGUCAAAUAUGUGGCCCGCGGGCCAUAACCGGUCCACUUGAGGAAUUUUGGAAGUGAAAAAAUGCACUUCAUGUUUGUGAUGUUCAGUAAAUAUGAAUAGUUUCUAAUAUACUUGCGCUUAUUUGCAUGAAAACAAGGGGGGGAAACAUGGGCUUAUCAUUUUUAAGUAAUUAUGUUAUGAUUGUACUGGUCCGACCCACUUGACAUCUAAUUAGGCUGUAUGUGGCCCCUGAACCAAAAUGAGUUUGACCCCGCUGACCCCCUUCACAACAGAGAUGCACAUUAUUUAAGACAACAAAUCUCUGCAACCCAAAUUGCAAAAAAAAAAAAAAAAUCUUAUCUUCCCUCCAAUUUUCUGAGGCCCCCUUGUGGCCUCCACCCUGAACCCUGACCCAGUUGUUUAAAUUUGGUAUUACCAAAAAACCAAUCAAUCUCAUCAAAAUCCCCAUGUCAUUAUUUGCUAGGUAAAUUAAUCUCAAACUUGAUGCGUGUUUUGGCAAGUACUUCUAAAUGUCAAAUGGCUGCAGGUGAACUUUUAUUCCUAAGAUCAACCAGAUGCAAACUGAAGGCAAUAGUGCACACACAGAAUGCAAUGUAGGUCAAAAACAAAAGGGGGUCGGAGGGGGCGGGGGUUAAUUUAAGAGGAGCAAUUCCAGCCACACCAAACGUCCAUUCUUCAUGGACGUAGCUCCUCCACGACCUCCAAAGUUUUUCUAAAAGCAUCCCUCACAAACUCACCUUUUAUAACCCCUUAGCCUUCAGCAGCGCUUUCAAAAAUGUAUGACUUGUGAAAAACAGAGGUAAAAAUGUCAAAGUGAUUUCGUGUGGACACCGCCGCGCGUUGAACUCACUGUCAUAACCCGCGGACAAAGUGUGACCAUGUGUUGUGUCUUUCCCUGCAGAUCCACAUACCCUUCUGUCAUCCGUCAUGUGCCCUCCCACCUGGACCCCCGAGACAAACACACUGACCCAUGACUGCUGGGAUUGGCCCCGGCCUCCCCGCAUCUUUGAAAAGGGUUAAGAGGAAGAAGAUGAGAGAUGAAUGGAAAAAUGAAAAAAUAAAUAAUGCCAGUGACGUGCCGUGCUAUCUGACUGACAUUAUAAUAUCAGCGGCGCUCACUGUGGCUAGACUACUAUCAGACAUUUUCAGCCGACCACAAUUGAAUUCCUGGUAACCUCAUGUGGGGUCAACACUGCCAUGGUAUAUGUAAGAAGACUUCAACCUAGACAAUGGGACCAUAUAGGUAAGUCAAGACCGAUGUGCAGAUCAAGUCACUGUUAAAACCAAUUGGCACUUCGGCUGUUCUUCCUCAACUUCAGCCGCCAACCAACGUCUACCUCAGUCACCUCCAUAGGGUGAGCAGUGUAAAUAAUGGAUGUGACACAGAGUGGCUUGCGAUAAUCUUUGAAAAUCCGAGUCUGUCGCCAUUGCGCUUGAAAUACAGUCGCUUCUUUAAAGACAGAGCGCCGCUGUAGAUUCGCAGAAGCAGGAGAUCAAAAUAGAGCCCAGCAGGAAAUCUUUAAAAAUGUACAGACUCACCGAGCUUUAGAAGGCAGACUGAGCGAAAGCAACCGUUUAAUUCAAAUGGAAUGUUUUUUACCUAAAAUUGGUCUGUCACAUUCCCUUUCUUUAAUAGUGAAAUUGAGGGAAACUGUUGAAAUGGAAGGAGGAGCACUAAAAGCUCCAAAUAAACCAGCUGAGAAGUAAGAUGGAAGCAGAGAGAGAUCCUUACAGGCAGGAAAAAAGAAUGCUGGAGUAGUAAAUAAUAUCCUUUUAGGGAACAAAUGGACAGAAAAUAUAUUAAAAUCAAAGGUCAGUGUGACCAAGCUCUGAUUUAAAGUGGCUUCAAAGCAGAGCUGACACCAGGCACUGGAGUUCAAGUGAGUGUGUUGGGGCAAACGUGUUCAAACCAUUAAAGUAUGGCAAAAGUUACAUAAGUGAAAGCCUUUGAUGCUCCAUUUACUUUGAUGGAAGACCCAACCAAAAAUAAUCCUGACCCCGACUACCUUUGGUCUUUGACCUCUCACUGACAGCAAGACUAAAGAGCGAAAAAACGCAAGAAAAACAUGACCUGGAAUGGAAGAGUCUGCACUUGCUCCACAUACUCAUGCUUCAGUCACACUCUGACAGGACGGUUAUUUUCACAUUUAUCACUUCACGGGUAAAUCUCAGCAAAUUUGACAAAGUGCUCUUGUCAUUUGUGGGAUGAAAAAAAGGCCGCAAGGUUAUAAAAUUAUUCUACUUUUACUAUCUUUACUUCAUCUGCAAAAAUACAUUUUCUUUUUUUUUUAAUAAGUUGUCAAUUCCAGCUGUCACAAACUAUUUACAUCGGUUUGGCGCCUUUUUCAUGUCCGAUACUGCAACUUCAGGCUCAGGCUGCUGCUGCUGAGGCGAUAGUGUCUGUCGCGCAAAAUUAAGUUGAGCAUUUAGGCUUAGGUAUUGCAUCAAACGGGCUAUAUUUAUUUAAUUUGAUGUUCGAUCCCGAAAUGUUUUAAACAAUAUCGGACCAAUACCCAUCGAGUACCAGAACAACCCAUCGCUAGUUAACUUAAAAACAAAUACAGUUUUUGAUCAAUUUUGAGCAAAUACUAACCUAAUCCCCAAAUAUCUUGGUGCAAAACCUAACGAAGAAAUACCGGGGAUUGAACUAGCAAUCUUUUUGCUAUCAGGCAGUGGUUCUCACAGAAAUGUUUUCCCGACCUACACCCCCGCAAAUUGAAUUACUAUCGACUACCUGAUAACAUGUAUAUUUUUAUCUGUACAAACCACUGUAUGAGUUGCUGCCACCUAGUGACUGGAGGCUUGUUAUCAUUCAGGCAUUACAGCAGUGGUAGACACUUAUGUCAAGCGCUCUAACCCCCCCGGCAUCUCACCGCGCCCCUCCAGUGGGGCCCGCCCCACUAUUUGAGAAGUACUGUUUUUUCCGCCAUCUGUCAAAGCUCUGUGAUGUUUAGCAGAACUAUGCGAGCAAUGAUUUGGUCAGGUUUUUCUAACCCAAUGAGCAAACUUUAAUUCCUGUAAGAACGAGGUUUCACAUGGAGUCUAUAAUCACUAGUGGAAGAAAGCAACCCAUUAAAUCAAUUAAAGUGCUACUACUUUUAAUUGCAGGAUAAAAUAAUAAUUUAAAUAUACUGUGGGGGAAAAAAUAUUCAUGUAGUACUUUUCAAAAGAAUAAACAUUUGCAGACUUUACGAAAGGGAUGAGGGACGACGGAAAGAAAAAAGUAAAACUUCAACUCUUUUUGAAGGUGUAGAUAAAAGCCCUGGGGAUGUGCGACGCACAGCUUUCCUCCUGGGCUCUCCAUUCAAACACACUUAUAAACUUGUAAAACUUAUCUACAGCCAUCUUUUUUUAAAAGGAAAAACAUCUUCAAACUUCUACUAAAAAAAAAAAAUCCAGGUAUGUAAUUAGAACGAUUGCCAACAUUGAGCUGUGGCAGAGAAGAGGUUUUUGUCCUCUGUGUAAUGAAGCUGCUACGGUGCAGAAAAGUCUGCACCUUAUACCGACAUGACCCGACAUGAGUCCAUGGCUGAGCGUAGGAGCAGUGUCUCAAAAGUAGCUGCAGGUUCUGCUUAAUUAGGAAAGUUUGUUGUCGUCUAAAUUAACUGUCAGACAGCCGCGGCCGGCUCUGGUCAUCUGAGGCAUGUAUCUGGGCUCUAUCUGAAUGAACAAACCCAACUUUAUUUGUAAAGUUCUCCGGUUUCCACCCAAGUGCCUGUGUUUAAAUCACCCGUCUUUAUCGGCCAGUGAAUCAAAUCAAACUCUAUCAUGUUGAGUCCGUGAUAAUUACUACUCCCACCUUUAACUCCAAACAAAAAAGCUUUCACACUCCAACUUACACAAUUAAAUUAGUAUUGAUUGGCUGUGGUGUUUAAUGUCCAGGGUUAUAAAGUGUUAAAGGACUGUUUCAUUGGUUAUCAUUAAUCUACAUGGAUCACCGCGGUGACGCCCGGCAGGAAAGUGCUUUUGAUUUAAUCUAACGCACUUCCUGUGACGUGUUGCUACAAGGGAUGAACAGUCAAACGUUAGGGUUACUUGAUCUUCGUAUGGAACUAUAUAUUCUGAUUCAGAGUAAACAAUGUUGGAUGAAUAAGGAUGUCCGAGACGCGACUUAUUGUACGGUUACAAGAUUUGUGGCUUUAAAGUACCAACUAGAGUUGUUUGGUUUGUUGUGCACUUACAUUUUAGUGUCUAUUAAUGUACAGUAUAUGAAUGUGUUCAUAGUCAUGUUAAAAAUAUUCAAAACAAUCUUCAAAAGUGGACAAGAAAAGAACGUAAAGUACUAGUGGUUGUUUUGGGUAACUGAUUUAAUAUUCAUUAUCUAUAAUGUAUGUGCAUCCUUUCAGUAUAACUUAAAGAAAGAUAUAGCAAAAACAAAUGUACCUAACGACUAUAAGCCAAAAGUCACAGCAAACAUUCACUGUUGUGACCGUUCACUUAAAUUUAUCCCCUGCUCUGUCGCCAUCUAGUGGAAAAGUUAAAGAACGGUAUUAAAGCUUGUUGUGAAGAGAAAGUCUUCUCCAAAAAUUGUACUUAAUUUAAUUAAAGGAAGACAAUAUCAGCAAAUUGAAAUUCAGGAAUUUUAAGGCAAAGUCUCAAAGACUGAUAAAGAACAUUACCAAUCUAUUUAUUUUUGUUUCCAGGUGUUAUGGAGCUGCUUCCUACUGGAACACAUAGUGGUAAGGCACCCUUUUUUUAACCUCUAAAUAUACACUAAUAAU